Molecule: transfer RNA, 67 nt
Filed under: Chilo sacchariphagus (spotted sugarcane borer)
Lineage: Eukaryota; Metazoa; Arthropoda; Insecta; Lepidoptera; Crambidae
Description: tRNA-Val
Source: RNAcentral
CAAAUUAGAGCUUGAUUAAGUAUUUCAUUUACAUUGAAAAGAUAAUAAAAUUGAUUAUUUAAUUUGA